UGAGUUUGAUCAUGGCUCAGAUUGAACGCUGGAGGCGUGCUUAACACAUGCAAGUCGUGCGAGGAAAGGGACUUCGGUCCUGGAGUAGAGCGGCGCACGGGUGAGUAACGCGUGGGUAAUCUCCCUUGGUGAUCGGGAUAACAGCGGGAAACUGCUGCUAAUACCGGAUAAUCUUCAUGUUUAACUUCAUGGGGUAAAGGUGGCCUCUGCUUGCAAGCUACCACAUCAAGAUGAGCCCGCGUCUCAUUAGCUAGUUGGUAGGGUAAUGGCCUACCAAGGCUACGAUGAGUAGCUGGUCUGAGAGGAUGACCAGCCACACUGGGACUGGAACUCGGACCAGACUCCUACGGGAGGCAGCAGUGAGGAAUAUUGCGCAAUGGGGGCAACCCUGACGCAGCGACGCCGCGUGGACGAUGAAGGCCCUUGGGUCGUAAAAUCCUGUCAGAUGGAAAGAAAUGUACAGGUGUUAAUAUCGCCUGUAUUUGACGGUACCAUCAAAGGAAGCACCGGCUAACUCCGUGCCAGCAGCCGCGGUAAUGCGGAGGGUGCGAGCGUUGUUCGGAAUUACUGGGCGUAAAGCGCGCGUAGGCGGUUUGCUAAGUCAGAUGUGAAAGCCCUCGGCUUACCCGGGGACGUGCAUUUGAAA
Molecule: ribosomal RNA, 646 nt
Filed under: uncultured delta proteobacterium
Lineage: Bacteria; Deltaproteobacteria
Description: bacterial SSU rRNA
Rfam family: Bacterial small subunit ribosomal RNA
Source: RNAcentral